AACGAACGCUGGCGGCAGGCCUAACACAUUGCAAGUCGAGCGCACCUUCGGGUGAGCGGCGGACGGGUUAGUAACGCGUGGGAACGUACCCUUUUCUACGGAAUAGCCUUUGGAAACGAAGAGUAAUACCGUAUACGCCCUUUGGGGGAAAGAUUUAUCGGAGAAGGAUCGGCCCGCGUUAGAUUAGAUAGUUGGUGGGGUAACGGCCUACCAAGUCUACGAUCUAUAGCUGGUUUUAGAGGAUGAUCAGCAACACUGGGACUGAGACACGGCCCAGACUCCUACGGGAGGCAGCAGUGGGGAAUCUUAGACAAUGGGCGCAAGCCUGAUCUAGCCAUGCCGCGUGAGUGAUGAAGGCCUUAGGGUCGUAAAGCUCUUUCGCCUGUGAUGAUAAUGACAGUAGCAGGUAAAGAAACCCCGGCUAACUCCGUG
This 432-nucleotide ribosomal RNA is filed under the name uncultured bacterium. RNAcentral describes it as "bacterial SSU rRNA". It matches the Rfam family "Bacterial small subunit ribosomal RNA", at positions 29 to 507 of the family's 1533-position model. The record is from RNAcentral.